Molecule: ribosomal RNA, 546 nt
Filed under: uncultured archaeon
Lineage: Archaea
Description: bacterial SSU rRNA
Rfam family: Archaeal small subunit ribosomal RNA
Source: RNAcentral
AGGCGCGAAACCUUUGCCAUGCGCGAAAGCGUGACAGGGGAAUUCCGAGUGGUAGGGGGGUUUACCUCCCUAUCUUUUGGCCAAUCCAAACAAUUGGCAGAAUAAGAUCUGGGUAAGACCAGUGCCAGCCGCCGCGGUAAUACUGGCAGAGCAAGUGGUAUCCACGAAUAUUGGGUCUAAAGAGUCCGUAGCGGGCCUGUUAAGUCCACUGUGAAAUCUGGCGGCUCAACCGUCAGGCGUGCAGUGGAUACUGGCAGGCUUGGGAGUGGGGGAGGUCGGGAGUACUCACGGGGUAACGGUAAAAUGUUGUAAUCCUGUGAGGACUACCAGUGGCGAAGGCGCCCGACCAAAACACGUCCGACCGUGAGGGACGAAGGCUAGGAGAACGAAUCGGAUUAGAUACCCGAGUAGCCCUAGCAGUAAAUUAUGCAGACUGUGGUGUUGCGUCGACUUCGAGUCGGCGCAGUGCUGUAGCGUAGGUGUUAAGUCUGCCACCUGGGGAGUACGGCCGCAAGGUUGAAACUUAAAGGAAUUGGCGGGGGAGCA